UGGGGAAUAUUGGACAAUGGGCGCAAGCCUGAUCCAGCCAUGCCGCGUGUGUGAAGAAGGCCUUUUGGUUGUAAAGCACUUUAAGCGAGGAGGAGGCUACUUAGAUUAAUACUCUAGGAUAGUGGACGUUACUCGCAGAAUAAGCACCGGCUAACUCUGUGCCAGCAGCCGCGGUAAUACAGAGGGUGCGAGCGUUAAUCGGAUUUACUGGGCGUAAAGCGUGCGUAGGCGGCUUUUUAAGUCGGAUGUGAAAUCCCUGAGCUUAACUUAGGAAUUGCAUUCGAUACUGGGAAGCUAGAGUAUGGGAGAGGAUGGUAGAAUUCCAGGUGUAGCGGUGAAAUGCGUAGAGAUCUGGAGGAAUACCGAUGGCGAAGGCAGCCAUCUGGCCUAAUACUGACGCUGAGGUACGAAAGCAUGGGGAGCAAACAGGAUUAGAUACCCUGGUAGUCCAUGCCGUAAACGAUGUCUACUAGCCGUUGGGGCCUUUGAGGCUUUAGUGGCGCAGCUAACGCGAUAAGUAGACCGCCUGGGAG
Molecule: ribosomal RNA, 533 nt
Filed under: uncultured marine bacterium
Lineage: Bacteria
Description: bacterial SSU rRNA
Rfam family: Bacterial small subunit ribosomal RNA
Source: RNAcentral